This 402-nucleotide ribosomal RNA is filed under the name uncultured bacterium. RNAcentral's name for it is "bacterial SSU rRNA". It matches the Rfam family "Bacterial small subunit ribosomal RNA", at positions 355 to 774 of the family's 1533-position model. The record is from RNAcentral.
UGGGGAAUAUUGGACAAUGGGCGCAAGCCUGAUCCAGCCAUGCCGCGUGAGUGAUGAAGGCCUUAGGGUUGUAAAGCUCUUUUAUCCGGGACGAUAAUGACGGUACCGGAAGAAUAAGCCCCGGCUAACUUCGUGCCAGCAGCCGCGGUAAUACGAAGGGGGCUAGCGUUGCUCGGAAUUACUGGGCGUAAAGCGUGCGUAGGUGGUUCGUUAAGUCUGAUGUGAAAGCCCUGGGCUCAACCUGGGAAUGGCAUUGGAAACUGGCGGACUGGAGUGCGGUAGAGGGUAGCGGAAUUCCCGGUGUAGCAGUGAAAUGCGUAGAGAUCGGGAGGAACAUCCGUGGCGAAGGCGGCUACCUGGACCAGCACUGACACUGAGGCACGAAAGCGUGGGGAGCAAACA